This 2917-nucleotide ribosomal RNA is filed under the name Bacillus cereus. RNAcentral's name for it is "bacterial LSU rRNA". It matches the Rfam family "Bacterial large subunit ribosomal RNA". The record is from RNAcentral. Lineage: Bacteria; Bacillati; Bacillota; Bacilli; Caryophanales; Bacillaceae.
UAAGUUAGAAAGGGCGCACGGUGGAUGCCUUGACACUAGGAGUCGAUGAAGGACGGGACUAACGCCGAUAUGCUUCGGGGAGCUGUAAGUAAGCUUUGAUCCGAAGAUUUCCGAAUGGGGAAACCCACUAUACGUAAUGGUAUGGUAUUCUUAUCUGAAUACAUAGGGUAAGGAAGACAGACCCAGGGAACUGAAACAUCUAAGUACCUGGAGGAAGAGAAAGCAAAUGCGAUUUCCUGAGUAGCGGCGAGCGAAACGGAACAUAGCCCAAACCAAGAGGCUUGCCUCUUGGGGUUGUAGGACAUUCUAUACGGAGUUACAAAGGAACGAGGUAGACGAAGCGACCUGGAAAGGUCCGUCGUAGAGGGUAACAACCCCGUAGUCGAACUUCGUUCUCUCUUGAAUGUAUCCUGAGUACGGCGGAACACGUGAAAUUCCGUCGGAAUCUGGGAGGGACCAUCUCCCAAGGCUAAAUACUCCCUAGUGAUCGAUAGUGAACCAGUACCGUGAGGGAAAGGUGAAAAGCACCCCGGAAGGGGAGUGAAAGAGAUCCUGAAACCGUGUGCCUACAAAUAGUCAGAGCCCGUUAACGGGUGAUGGCGUGCCUUUUGUAGAAUGAACCGGCGAGUUACGAUCCCGUGCGAGGUUAAGCUGAAGAGGCGGAGCCGCAGCGAAAGCGAGUCUGAAUAGGGCGUUUAGUACGUGGUCGUAGACCCGAAACCAGGUGAUCUACCCAUGUCCAGGGUGAAGUUCAGGUAACACUGAAUGGAGGCCCGAACCCACGCACGUUGAAAAGUGCGGGGAUGAGGUGUGGGUAGCGGAGAAAUUCCAAUCGAACCUGGAGAUAGCUGGUUCUCCCCGAAAUAGCUUUAGGGCUAGCCUUAAGUGUAAGAGUCUUGGAGGUAGAGCACUGAUUGGACUAGGGGUCCUCAUCGGAUUACCGAAUUCAGUCAAACUCCGAAUGCCAAUGACUUAUCCUUAGGAGUCAGACUGCGAGUGAUAAGAUCCGUAGUCAAAAGGGAAACAGCCCAGAUCGCCAGCUAAGGUCCCAAAGUGUGUAUUAAGUGGAAAAGGAUGUGGAGUUGCUUAGACAACUAGGAUGUUGGCUUAGAAGCAGCCACCAUUUAAAGAGUGCGUAAUAGCUCACUAGUCGAGUGACUCUGCGCCGAAAAUGUACCGGGGCUAAAUACACCACCGAAGCUGCGGAUUGAUACCAAUGGUAUCAGUGGUAGGGGAGCGUUCUAAGGACAGUGAAGUCAGACCGGAAGGACUGGUGGAGUGCUUAGAAGUGAGAAUGCCGGUAUGAGUAGCGAAAGACGGGUGAGAAUCCCGUCCACCGAAUGCCUAAGGUUUCCUGAGGAAGGCUCGUCCGCUCAGGGUUAGUCAGGACCUAAGCCGAGGCCGACAGGCGUAGGCGAUGGACAACAGGUUGAUAUUCCUGUACCACCUCUUUAUCGUUUGAGCAAUGGAGGGACGCAGAAGGAUAGAAGAAGCGUGCGAUUGGUUGUGCACGUCCAAGCAGUUAGGCUGAUAAGUAGGCAAAUCCGCUUAUCGUGAAGGCUGAGCUGUGAUGGGGAAGCUCCUUAUGGAGCGAAGUCUUUGAUUCCCCGCUGCCAAGAAAAGCUUCUAGCGAGAUAAAAGGUGCCUGUACCGCAAACCGACACAGGUAGGCGAGGAGAGAUCCUAAGGUGUGCGAGAGAACUCUGGUUAAGGAACUCGGCAAAAUGACCCCGUAACUUCGGGAGAAGGGGUGCUUUCUUAACGGAAAGCCGCAGUGAAUAGGCCCAAGCGACUGUUUAGCAAAAACACAGCUCUCUGCGAAGCCGUAAGGCGAAGUAUAGGGGGUGACACCUGCCCGGUGCUGGAAGGUUAAGGAGAGGGGUUAGCGUAAGCGAAGCUCUGAACUGAAGCCCCAGUAAACGGCGGCCGUAACUAUAACGGUCCUAAGGUAGCGAAAUUCCUUGUCGGGUAAGUUCCGACCCGCACGAAAGGUGUAACGAUUUGGGCACUGUCUCAACCAGAGACUCGGUGAAAUUAUAGUACCUGUGAAGAUGCAGGUUACCCGCGACAGGACGGAAAGACCCCGUGGAGCUUUACUGUAGCCUGAUAUUGAAUUUUGGUACAGUUUGUACAGGAUAGGCGGGAGCCUUUGAAACCGGAGCGCUAGCUUCGGUGGAGGCGCUGGUGGGAUACCGCCCUGACUGUAUUGAAAUUCUAACCUACGGGUCUUAUCGACCCGGGAGACAGUGUCAGGUGGGCAGUUUGACUGGGGCGGUCGCCUCCUAAAGUGUAACGGAGGCGCCCAAAGGUUCCCUCAGAAUGGUUGGAAAUCAUUCGUAGAGUGCAAAGGCAUAAGGGAGCUUGACUGCGAGACCUACAAGUCGAGCAGGGACGAAAGUCGGGCUUAGUGAUCCGGUGGUUCCGCAUGGAAGGGCCAUCGCUCAACGGAUAAAAGCUACCCCGGGGAUAACAGGCUUAUCUCCCCCAAGAGUCCACAUCGACGGGGAGGUUUGGCACCUCGAUGUCGGCUCAUCGCAUCCUGGGGCUGUAGUCGGUCCCAAGGGUUGGGCUGUUCGCCCAUUAAAGCGGUACGCGAGCUGGGUUCAGAACGUCGUGAGACAGUUCGGUCCCUAUCCGUCGUGGGCGUAGGAAAUUUGAGAGGAGCUGUCCUUAGUACGAGAGGACCGGGAUGGACGCACCGCUGGUGUACCAGUUGUUCUGCCAAGGGCAUAGCUGGGUAGCUAUGUGCGGAAGGGAUAAGUGCUGAAAGCAUCUAAGCAUGAAGCCCCCCUCAAGAUGAGAUUUCCCAUAGCGUAAGCUAGUAAGAUCCCUGAAAGAUGAUCAGGUUGAUAGGUUCGAGGUGGAAGCAUGGUGACAUGUGGAGCUGACGAAUACUAAUAGAUCGAGGACUUAACCA